This 20-nucleotide non-coding RNA is filed under the name Arabidopsis thaliana (thale cress). The record is from RNAcentral. Lineage: Eukaryota; Viridiplantae; Streptophyta; Magnoliopsida; Brassicales; Brassicaceae.
GGUAAUGGAGCCACUAAUAC